Molecule: ribosomal RNA, 212 nt
Filed under: uncultured bacterium
Lineage: Bacteria
Description: partial 16S ribosomal RNA
Rfam family: Bacterial small subunit ribosomal RNA
Source: RNAcentral
CAGUUCAGAUUGUAGGCUGAAACUCGCCUAUAUGAAGUCGGAAUUGCUAGUAAUCGCAGAUCAGCAUGCUGCGGUGAAUACGUUCCCGGGCCUUGUACACACCGCCCGUCACACCAUGAGAGUCGAUAACACCCGAAGCCUGUAGUCUAACCAUAAGGAGGACGCAGUCGAAGGUGGGAUUGAUAAUUAGGGUGAAGUCGUAACAAGGUAUC